RNAcentral lists this ribosomal RNA (407 nucleotides) under uncultured prokaryote. Its description in RNAcentral is "bacterial SSU rRNA". It matches the Rfam family "Bacterial small subunit ribosomal RNA", at positions 355 to 776 of the family's 1533-position model. RNAcentral also lists the same sequence under 1 other name. The record is from RNAcentral.
UGGGGAAUAUUGCACAAUGGGCGAAAGCCUGAUGCAGCAACGCCGCGUGAGGGAAGACGGUUUUCGGAUUGUAAACCUCUGUCCUUGGUGAAGAAAGAAAUGACGGUAGCCGAGGAGGAAGCCACGGCUAACUACGUGCCAGCAGCCGCGGUAAUACGUAGGUGGCGAGCGUUGUCCGGAAUUACUGGGUGUAAAGGGAGCGUAGGCGGGUCGGCAAGUCAGUGGUGAAAUACAUGGGCUUAACCCAUGAAUUGCCAUUGAAACUGCCGGUCUUGAGUGGAUCAGAGGCAAGCGGAAUUCCGAGUGUAGCGGUGAAAUGCGUAGAUAUUCGGAGGAACACCAGUGGCGAAGGCGGCUUGCUGGGGUCUAACUGACGCUGAGGCUCGAAAGUGUGGGGAGCAAACAGG